GCAGUCGACGGUGACACGGAGCUUGCUCUGUGGGAUCAGUGGCGAACGGGUGAGUAACACGUGAGCAACCUGCCCCUGACUCUGGGAUAAGCGCUGGAAACGGCGUCUAAUACUGGAUAUGUGACGUGACCGCAUGGUCUGCGUCUGGAAAGAAUUUCGGUUGGGGAUGGGCUCGCGGCCUAUCAGCUUGUUGGUGAGGUAAUGGCUCACCAAGGCGUCGACGGGUAGCCGGCCUGAGAGGGUGACCGGCCACACUGGGACUGAGACACGGCCCAGACUCCUACGGGAGGCAGCAGUGGGGAAUAUUGCACAAUGGGCGCAAGCCUGAUGCAGCAACGCCGCGUGAGGGACGACGGCCUUCGGGUUGUAAACCUCUUUUAGCAGGGAAGAAGCGAAAGUGACGGUACCUGCAGAAAAAGCGCCGGCUAACUACGUGCCAGCAGCCGCGGUAAUACGUAGGGCGCAAGCGUUAUCCGGAAUUAUUGGGCGUAAAGAGCUCGUAGGCGGUUUGUCGCGUCUGCUGUGAAAUCCGGAGGCUCAACCUCCGGCCUGCAGUGGGUACGGGCAGACUAGAGUGCGGUAGGGGAGAUUGGAAUUCCUGGUGUAGCGGUGGAAUGCGCAGAUAUCAGGAGGAACACCGAUGGCGAAGGCAGAUCUCUGGGCCGUAACUGACGCUGAGG
This 680-nucleotide ribosomal RNA is filed under the name Microbacterium sp. Y1220_2. RNAcentral describes it as "bacterial SSU rRNA". It matches the Rfam family "Bacterial small subunit ribosomal RNA", at positions 57 to 751 of the family's 1533-position model. The record is from RNAcentral. Lineage: Bacteria; Bacillati; Actinomycetota; Actinomycetes; Micrococcales; Microbacteriaceae.